RNAcentral lists this long non-coding RNA (838 nucleotides) under Nannospalax galili (Upper Galilee mountains blind mole rat). RNAcentral describes it as "lncRNA (ENSNGAG00000024558.1)". Lineage: Eukaryota; Metazoa; Chordata; Mammalia; Rodentia; Spalacidae. The record is from RNAcentral.
CCCUGUCUCAAAAGAAAGAUAGGAAGGAAGGAAGGAAGGGAGGGAGGGAAGGAGGGAAGGAGGGGAGGGAAAGAAAGGAAGGAAGGAAGGAAGGAAGAAAGAAAGAAAGACAGACGGAAGGAAGGAAGGAAAGAAGGAAAGAAAGAAAGAUUGAUUUAUCCAGCAGGUAUUAAGUGCCUGCUGUGUGGGCUAGUUGAUGGGCAUAUAAAAGUAAUCCACAACUUUCACUCUAAACCCAUGGAUACAUUUGGAUUCUCUAAUGACUGUUUAAAAUUGUCUCUUAUUCCUUAGGCAGUCUCGACAAAAAGUGCCUGACAUCAACACAGAACUCUCCCAGAGUGAGCAAAUCAUUUGGGAUGACCCAACAGCGAGGGAGGAGAGAGCGAGGCUCGCCAGCAACUUGCAGUGGCCUAGCUGUCCCACACAGUAUUCUGAGCUUCAGGUUGACAUUGAAAAACCGGAAGAUUCUCCUUUUCAAGAGCCUUCAUAUGAUUCAGAAAUGGCCAAACAGGCUGUUUGUGAUCCUGGAAGUGUGUGUGUGACUGAAGCCUCUGAACACUCAAUCUCUGAAGAACCAGAAACUUCAACAGAAGACAGUCAGCUAAUCCCCACACCACAAGCCCCCAGCAUUGCUUUCCCCCUGGCCAACCCACCUGUGGCCAACCCACAUGUGACUCCACAACCUAUGGAGGAGGUUUGUUGAUCCUUGUGCGGUGAUAAUAGCAUGUGACUAUUGCUGUCAAUGCUGGAGUAGAAAUUUGUUGUUACCAAGAUUUAUCACUAGUGAAAACUGCAUUUCUUUGAUUUUAUUAUAGUUUAUAUGUUUAAUUCCUUAGAA